GGGGACGUAACAAAGCGACCCAGGAAUGCUUGGGCGUGCCUCCACCCACGCCGGCGUCGGCGGGCGUAUUUCGCCUCACAGUAGGUCGCCGCGACCCGUUGCUUUUGGGGACGUCGAAGGCCCGGACGGAUUGGUACCCUACCGGCUGGGGAUGCGGCUUCGGCUUCUCCUCUUGUCCGGUGGGCGAAACCGCCGGUGUCCUGGCUGCCCUGCGACGGUCGUAGAGACGAGCCCCUCCCAUUCGUGGGGGGCGGCUCUCGCGGCGUGCAAAAGGUCGGUGAUCCACCCGACCCGUCUUGAAACACGGACCAAGGAGUCUAACAUGUGUGCGAGUCAGUGGGCGCACUAAACCCAGAGGCGUAAUGAAAGUGACACGGGUUCGGCUGUCGCCUCGUGUGGCAGCCGGACUCAGGGCCGAUCCCUCACCGGUUGCCCUCGCCUCUCUCCCGCGUCUCGGUAAGCCGGGUGAGCUAUUUUCCCCGGCCGCUGCUGCGGGGCGCGGGGGGUGGCGGGGUGCGAUGGUGUCCGUAAAAAAGAGCCUGCUGUUGCAGGGGGGCGCAGGCCCGGGACUUGCCAGGACGCCGCGAGACUGUCACUUUGCUGUGAGGCUCCAGGGCCGAUCAGCGGGUCAUGCGUGCAGUCGGCAAGUACCAUGAGCAGACAUGUUGGGACCCGAAAGAUGGUGAACUAUGCCUGGCCAGGAUGAAGCCAGAGGAAACUCUGGUGGAGGUCCGUAGCGAUUCUGACGUGCAAAUCGAUCGUCGGAGCUGGGUAUAGGGGCGA
This 783-nucleotide ribosomal RNA is filed under the name Procambarus lucifugus lucifugus. RNAcentral describes it as "eukaryotic LSU rRNA". The stretch from base 308 to 783 matches the Rfam family "Eukaryotic large subunit ribosomal RNA", at positions 665 to 926 of the family's 3401-position model. Lineage: Eukaryota; Metazoa; Arthropoda; Malacostraca; Decapoda; Cambaridae. The record is from RNAcentral.